AACGUAGGGUGCGAGCGUUGUCCGGAAUGACUGGGCGUAAAGGGCGCGUAGGCGGUUCUUUAAGUUAGGAGUGAAAGUCCAGCUUUUAAGGUUGGAAUUGCUUUUAAUACUGGAGGGCUUGAGUGCAGAAGAGGUAAGUGGAAUUCCAUGUGUAGCGGUGAAAUGCGUAGAGAUAUGGAGGAACACCAGUGGCGAAGGCGGCUUCCUGGUCUGUAACUGACACUGAGGCGCGAAAGCGUGGGGAGCAAACAGGAUUAGAUACCCCGGUAGUCCCUGAGCGGG
RNAcentral lists this ribosomal RNA (282 nucleotides) under uncultured prokaryote. RNAcentral's name for it is "partial 16S ribosomal RNA". It matches the Rfam family "Bacterial small subunit ribosomal RNA", at positions 524 to 803 of the family's 1533-position model. The record is from RNAcentral.